RNAcentral lists this ribosomal RNA (252 nucleotides) under uncultured prokaryote. Its description in RNAcentral is "partial 16S ribosomal RNA". It matches the Rfam family "Bacterial small subunit ribosomal RNA", at positions 523 to 774 of the family's 1533-position model. The record is from RNAcentral.
AGACAGAGGGGGCAAGCGUUGCUCGGAAUUACUGGGCGUAAAGGGCGCGUAGGCGGGAUGGCAAGUCGGUUGUGAAAUCCUUCGGCUCAACCGAAGAACGUCGAUCGAUACUGCCAUUCUUGAGGGAUGCAGAGGAGACUGGAAUUCCCGGUGUAGCGGUGAAAUGUGUAGAGAUCGGGAGGAACACCGGUGGCGAAGGCGGGUCUCUGGGCAUCUCCUGACGCUGAGGCGCGAAAGCGUGGGGAGCAAACG